RNAcentral lists this ribosomal RNA (327 nucleotides) under uncultured eukaryote. RNAcentral describes it as "partial 18S ribosomal RNA". It matches the Rfam family "Eukaryotic small subunit ribosomal RNA", at positions 1470 to 1796 of the family's 1831-position model. The record is from RNAcentral.
CCCCUAGAUGUUCUGGGCCGCACGCGCGCUACACUGAACAGUUCAACAAGUCUUAACCUUGGCCGAUAGGUCUGGGUAAUCUUUGAACGCUGUUCGUGAUUGGGAUAGACCUUUGCAAUUAUUAAUCUUCAACGAGGAAUGCCUAGUAAGCGCAAGUCAUCAGCUUGCGUUGAUUACGUCCCUGCCCUUUGUACACACCGCCCGUCGCUCCUACCGAUUGAAUGGUCCGGUGAAGCGUUCGGACCGUGGCCUUUGGACGGUUCGCCGUCUGUUGGCUGCGGGAAGUUCGUUAAACCUUAUCAUUUAGAGGAAGGAGAANUCGUANCA